Molecule: ribosomal RNA, 428 nt
Filed under: uncultured bacterium
Lineage: Bacteria
Description: bacterial SSU rRNA
Rfam family: Bacterial small subunit ribosomal RNA
Source: RNAcentral
UAGGGAAUCUUCCGCAAUGGACGAAAGUCUGACGGAGCAACGCCGCGUGAACGAGGAAGGUUUUCGGAUCGUAAAGUUCUGUUGUUAGGGAAGAACAAGUACCGUUUGAAUAAGGCGGUACCUUGACGGUACCUAACGAGAAAGCCACGGCUAACUACGUGCCAGCAGCCGCGGUAAUACGUAGGUGGCAAGCGUUAUCCGGAAUUAUUGGGCGUAAAGCGCGCGCAGGUGGUUUCUUAAGUCUGAUGUGAAAGCCCACGGCUCAACCGUGGAGGGUCAUUGGAAACUGGGAGACUUGAGUGCAGGAGAGGAAAGUGGAAUUCCACGUGUAGCGGUGAAAUGCGUAGAGAUGUGGAGGAACACCAGUGGCGAAGGCGACUUUCUGGCCUGCAACUGACACUGAGGCGCGAAAGCGUGGGGAGCAAACA